RNAcentral lists this long non-coding RNA (434 nucleotides) under Malus domestica (apple). Its description in RNAcentral is "long non-coding RNA (MDOM_LNC011563)". The record is from RNAcentral. Lineage: Eukaryota; Viridiplantae; Streptophyta; Magnoliopsida; Rosales; Rosaceae.
UUCCACGUGAUGAAACGGGAGUUUUUGAACUUGUGGGACGUAACUUUGAUGCUGAAGAAGAUCGACCAGGAGGGGCAGAUACAGCAGAUGCACUUGAUGAACUUAGUUGACGGGUUGGUGUCGCUGAUCUUGAUGUUGGUGCAGAAGGUCUGCCAGUUGGUGUAGAAGAGCGAGGAGUGGACCGAGAAGGAGUUGAAGAUCUCACUGGAGGAGCCGCAAGCUUUGCGGAUGAUGAGGUGGCUCGUGAAUUUGGGGUGGAGGAUCGUGAGGGCUUGGUUGAUGAAGGUAAUGUGGACCGCCCAGUUGGUGUUGUGGACCGUCCAGUUGGAGUUGUAGACCUACGAGUAGCAGCUCCUGACCCUCUGGGUGUUGAGGGCCUUCUGUUACCAGUACUGGAAGAGUUCAGUCCAGACGGCAAUGUUGGCUGCUUAGAU